GAUGAACGCUGGCGGCGUGCCUAAUACAUGCCAGUCGAGCGAACAGAUGAGGAGCUUGCUCCUCUGACGUUAGCGGCGGACGGGUGAGUAACACGUGGAUAACCUACCUAUAAGACUGGGAUAACUUCGGGAAACCGGAGCUAAUACCGGAUAAUAUAUUGAACCGCAUGGUUCAAUAGUGAAAGACGGUUUUGCUGUCACUUAUAGAUGGAUCCGCGCCGCAUUAGCUAGUUGGUAAGGUAACGGCUUGCCAAGGCAACGAUGCGUAGCCGACCUGAGAGGGUGAUCGGCCACACUGGAACUGAGACACGGUCCAGACUCCUACGGGAGGCAGCAGUAGGGAAUCUUCCGCAAUGGGCGAAAGCCUGACGGAGCAACGCCGCGUGAGUGAUGAAGGUCUUCGGAUCGUAAAACUCUGUUAUUAGGGAAGAACAAAUGUGUAAGUAACUAUGCACGUCUUGACGGUACCUAAUCAGAAAGCCACGGCUAACUACGUG
This 497-nucleotide ribosomal RNA is filed under the name uncultured bacterium. RNAcentral's name for it is "partial 16S ribosomal RNA". It matches the Rfam family "Bacterial small subunit ribosomal RNA", at positions 28 to 507 of the family's 1533-position model. The record is from RNAcentral.